UGCAAAUGAUGUUUUUUCUCACGAUGGUCUUCCAAGCCUGCUUGGUUUUGACGACACUGCCUAAUGGCAUCACUGAUGUAGUCCU
Molecule: small nucleolar RNA, 85 nt
Organism: Myripristis murdjan (pinecone soldierfish)
Lineage: Eukaryota; Metazoa; Chordata; Actinopteri; Holocentriformes; Holocentridae
Product: small nucleolar RNA SNORD35
Source: Ensembl